Molecule: ribosomal RNA, 571 nt
Filed under: Microbacterium sp. CH33
Lineage: Bacteria; Bacillati; Actinomycetota; Actinomycetes; Micrococcales; Microbacteriaceae
Description: bacterial SSU rRNA
Rfam family: Bacterial small subunit ribosomal RNA
Source: RNAcentral
CUCUGUGGAUCAGUGGCGAACGGGUGAGUAACACGUGAGCAACCUGCCCCGGACUCUGGGAUAAGCGCUGGAAACGGCGUCUAAUACUGGAUACGAGCUGCAACCGCAUGGUUAGCAGUUGGAAAGAUUUUUCGGUCUGGGAUGGGCUCGCGGCCUAUCAGCUUGUUGGUGAGGUAAUGGCUCACCAAGGCGUCGACGGGUAGCCGGCCUGAGAGGGUGACCGGCCACACUGGGACUGAGACACGGCCCAGACUCCUACGGGAGGCAGCAGUGGGGAAUAUUGCACAAUGGGCGAAAGCCUGAUGCAGCAACGCCGCGUGAGGGACGACGGCCUUCGGGUUGUAAACCUCUUUUAGCAAGGAAGAAGCGAAAGUGACGGUACUUGCAGAAAAAGCGCCGGCUAACUACGUGCCAGCAGCCGCGGUAAUACGUAGGGCGCAAGCGUUAUCCGGAAUUAUUGGGCGUAAAGAGCUCGUAGGCGGUUUGUCGCGUCUGCUGUGAAAACCCGAGGCUCAACCUCGGGCCUGCAGUGGGUACGGGCAGACUAGAGUGCGGUAGGGGAGAUUGGAAU